RNAcentral lists this ribosomal RNA (164 nucleotides) under Camellia parvimuricata. Its description in RNAcentral is "5.8S ribosomal RNA". It matches the Rfam family "5.8S ribosomal RNA". From Rfam's summary of the family: 5.8S ribosomal RNA (5.8S rRNA) is a component of the large subunit of the eukaryotic ribosome. It is transcribed by RNA polymerase I as part of the 45S precursor that also contains 18S and 28S rRNA. The record is from RNAcentral. Lineage: Eukaryota; Viridiplantae; Streptophyta; Magnoliopsida; Ericales; Theaceae.
UAAACGACUCUCGGCAACGGAUAUCUCGGCUCUCGCAUCGAUGAAGAACGUAGCGAAAUGCGAUACUUGGUGUGAAUUGCAGAAUCCCGCGAACCAUUGAGUCUUUGAACGCAAGUUGCGCCCGAAGCCAUUAGGUUGAGGGCACGUCUGCCUGGGCGUCUCAC